This 1213-nucleotide ribosomal RNA is filed under the name uncultured bacterium. Its description in RNAcentral is "bacterial SSU rRNA". It matches the Rfam family "Bacterial small subunit ribosomal RNA", at positions 233 to 1454 of the family's 1533-position model. The record is from RNAcentral.
GCGUCUGAUAAGGUAGUCGGCGGGGUAACGGCCCACCGAGCCGACGAUCAGUAGGGUUCUGAGAGGAAGGUCCCCCACAUUGGAACUGAGACACGGUCCAAACUCCUACGGGAGGCAGCAGUGAGGAAUAUUGGUCAAUGGGCGGUAGCCUGAACCAGCCAAGUAGCGUGAGGGAAGACGGCCCUAUGGGUUGUAAACCUCUUUAGUCGGGGAAUAAAGUUCGCGACGUGUCGCGUUUUGUAGGUACCCGAAGAAUAAGGACCGGCUAAUUCCGUGCCAGCAGCCGCGGUAAUACGGAAGGUCCUGGCGUUAUCCGGAUUUAUUGGGUUUAAAGGGAGCGCAGGCGGCCCUGUAAGCGGGCAGUGAAAUGUCGGAGCCCAACUCCGUCACUGCUGUCCGAACUGCUGGGCUUGAGUGCGCGCGAGGGAAGCGGAAUUUGUGGUGUAGCGGUGAAAUGCUUAGAUAUCACGAAGAACUCCGAAUGCGAAGGCAGCUUCCCAGAGCGCAACUGACGCUAAAGCUCGAAAGUGCGGGUAUCGAACAGGAUUAGAUACCCUGGUAGUCCGCACGGUAAACGAUGGAUGCCCGCUGUUCCGGCGUUUGUUUGGAGCGGCCAAGAGAAAUCGUUAAGCAUCCCACCUGGGGAGUACGCCGGCAACGGUGAAACUCAAAGGAAUUGACGGGGGCCCGCACAAGCGGAGGAACAUGUGGUUUAAUUCGAUGAUACGCGAGGAACCUUACCCGGGCUUGAAUUGCAGUAGAACGAUACAGAGAUGUUGAGGCCCCUUCGGGGGCGUGCUGUGAAGGUGCUGCAUGGUUGUCGUCAGCUCGUGCCGUGAGGUGUCGGCUUAAGUGCCAUAACGAGCGCAACCCCUCUCCGUAGUUGCCAUCGGGUGAUGCCGGGCACUCUGCGGACACUGCCACCGCAAGGUGUGAGGAAGGUGGGGAUGACGUCAAAUCAGCACGGCCCUUACGUCCGGGGCUACACACGUGUUACAAUGGGGGGCACAGAGGGACGCCGCCGGCAACGUCGGUCCAAUCCAUAAAUCCCCCCUCAGUUCGGACCGGGGUCUGCAACCCGACCCCGCGAAGCUGGAUUCGCUAGUAAUCGCGCAUCAGCCAUGGCGCGGUGAAUACGUUCCCGGGCCUUGUACACACCGCCCGUCAAGCCAUGAAAGCCGGGGGCGCCUGAAGUCCGUGACCGCGAGGGUCG